GUGAGGAAUUUUCCGCAAUGGGCGAAAGCCUGACGGAGCAAUGCCGCGUGAAGGAUGAAGGCCUAUGGGUUGUAAACUUCUUUUCUCAGAAAAGCAUUAUGACGGUAUCUGAGGAAUAAGCAUCGGCUAACUCUGUGCCAGCAGCCGCGGUACGACAGAGGAUGCAAGCGUUAUCCGGAAUGAUUGGGCGUAAAGCGUCUGUAGGUUGUUUAAAAAGUAUUCUGUCAAAGAUUAGGGCUUAACCCUAGAUAGGCAGAAUAAACUUUUAAGCUAGAGUUUGGUAGAGGCAGAGGGAAUUCCCGGUGGAGCGGUGAAAUGCGUAGAUAUCGGGAGGAACACCAAAGGCGAAGGCACUCUGCUGGGCCAAUACUAACACUGAGAGGCGAAAGCGAGGGGAGCAAAUGGGAUUAGAAACCCGUGUAGUCC
This 426-nucleotide ribosomal RNA is filed under the name uncultured bacterium. Its description in RNAcentral is "bacterial SSU rRNA". It matches the Rfam family "Bacterial small subunit ribosomal RNA", at positions 354 to 796 of the family's 1533-position model. The record is from RNAcentral.